RNAcentral lists this ribosomal RNA (497 nucleotides) under uncultured bacterium. Its description in RNAcentral is "partial 16S ribosomal RNA". It matches the Rfam family "Bacterial small subunit ribosomal RNA", at positions 28 to 507 of the family's 1533-position model. The record is from RNAcentral.
GAUGAACGCUGGCGGCGUGCCUAAUACAUGCAAGUCGAGCGAACAGACGAGGAGCUUGCUCCUCUGACGUUAGCGGCGGACGGGUGAGUAACACGUGGAUAACCUACCUAUAAGACUGGGAUAACUUCGGGAAACCGGAGCUAAUACCGGAUAAUAUAUUGAACCGCAUGGUUCAAUAGUGAAAGACGGUUUUGCUGUCACUUAUAGAUGGAUCCGCGCCGCAUUAGCUAGUUGGUAAGGUAACGGCUUACCAAGGCGACGAUGCGUAGCCGACCUGAGAGGGUGAUCGGCCACACUGGAACUGAGACACGGUCCAGACUCCUACGGGAGGCAGCAGUAGGGAAUCUUCCGCAAUGGGCGAAAGCCUGACGGAGCAACGCCGCGUGAGUGAUGUAGGUCUUCGGAUCGUAAAACUCUGUUAUUAGGGAAGAACAAAUGUGUAAGUAACUAUGCACGUCUUGACGGUACCUAAUCAGAAAGCCACGGCUAACUUCGUG